Molecule: ribosomal RNA, 166 nt
Filed under: uncultured bacterium
Lineage: Bacteria
Description: partial 16S rRNA
Rfam family: Bacterial small subunit ribosomal RNA
Source: RNAcentral
UAGGGAAUCUUCCACAAUGGGCGAAAGACCUGAUGGAGCAACGCCGCGUGUGUGAUGAAGGGUUUCGGGCUCGUAGAACACUGUUGUAAGAGAAGAAUGACAUUGAGAGUAACUGUUCAAUGUGUGACGGUAUCUUACCAGAAAGGAACGGCUAAAUACGUGCCAG